Molecule: long non-coding RNA, 2158 nt
Filed under: Homo sapiens (human)
Lineage: Eukaryota; Metazoa; Chordata; Mammalia; Primates; Hominidae
Description: HSALNT0017071
Source: RNAcentral
GACUUUUCUCAUCUUGGUGUACCUAAUACCACUCUAGGACCCAUGAGGCAAACAUAGAGUUCAUACCUUGUGAGUGUCAUUUAUCUGAAAAGGCAGUAAUAGAUCCUUGAGUCUUCGAAUCAGAAUACAAGCUAAAUACUAAAUGUGCUAAAGCAGUGUAAGACUGGAUGUUGCUGGGUACUGAGGAAGGCCGGAAGGACUAGGAUGGAGCGUCAAGGAAGGCCUCGGGGGCAAGAGGAAGAAGACGUUGACUUAGGUGUGCUCGGUGCAGGGGCUGAUGGCAGAGCUUUAUGUGGAAGGAUCCUGUGAGCAAACAGCCCCAGGAGCCCGCGGAGGGGGUAGAAGAGAACGUGAGCUAUUGCCAGAGCCAGCUUCAGUCCUCAGGUUGGGCACAUCAGUAGCUGAGAGACUCCUCUGACCAUGGCCAGCCUCAGGAAGUGAGUGUCAACAGCCUUGCAGAUGGGAACUCAACUCCUGGGUACCCAUGCCUGAAAAGACGUAAGUCCUGCUCCCACCGGCACCAGACCCCCUGCCCUCCCUCUACCCCAAUACUAGAACUCCAGACCUCACCCCUCCUCCCCAGAGACAUAUCAGCAGGAAGUUAAGUCAGCUGGAACACUUUGUUCCCUUGACAUUUCUGUUUUAAUUCUGCAGCUGUGUUUAAGGCUUCAUGAAUUAUCUGUCCAGCACGGUCUGUUUGUCUGCCUAGUGCCUCUUCUCCCACUUCCCUGCACCAGGUCAUGAUUACCCUAAGGCUGGUAGAGCAGAACUGGAACUAGGGUUGGUAAGAAGGAAGUGGGAUGGUAAGAAAGGGCAUUAGGGACUGUAAUAUUAGCUGUUGAUGAGCUAAGGAUGAUGAUCUGAUUGCUUGCUCAAGGAGGAGGAAUUCCUAAAUCAUUAACAGUGUGCGUUGCCGAUAGCUCUCUUUCCUCACCCUCUCAUGGUAUUUAUCUCUACAUCACAUCAUAGUGAUGAAUAGGUGUGUCUUUUCUCCUCAGUAUUCUAUAGUGCCUACUUACAUGCCUUAUUCAUGCUUAUUCAUGUUCAGGAAGCAGUUGGUAAUUGAAGGAAUGAGCCUUCUCGCCUUCCUUUUAUCUCAAGUCAGCUUAUCACUUAAAAACAAAAACAAAAACAAGCCAUAGCUUCCAAAUUCAACUUGGUCCUGCUCAGGGUGGUAUUUCUUAAUUUCUUAUAGCUGCAAUUCACAGGUCUGUAUCCUUGCUUGCCAAUGUCUGUUUUGGUAUUCAUGGUAGUUGGCUCUGAGACAUAUCAGAGCACUAUAUUGUUCUUUCCUGGUUGCUUUUUCUUCUGCUUCUCAUCAAAGUCUAGAGAGAAACUCAGUUUCUAAAGCCAUUAAGAACCUAGUAGGAAAAUGGUGAUUAGUCUCUCCAAGUUCUUCUUCCUCAGCAGACCCACGAAGAGUGUUCUCCAUUCACUGGUCAAUCAGGCUCACAUGUGUGAAACGUCAAGGUUGGCCUUAAAGGACCACCCGGGCAAAUGACUUAUCGUUAGUUACGUGAGCUGGGUAUGUUUUGUCAACCACCCCGCUUGAAACCUAAGCAUGAGAGAACGUAGCUCACAAGACAGGUAUGGCCCCAUAUGUCUCCAUAAGCCCACAUCUAGAAAAUACGUAUGCAGAUUUUUCUGUUGCCAGUUGGUCAUCCUGAGCUAUCAUUUCUAAUGUGUGACUAGUUUCAACCAAAUUUAAUAUUUUAAAACCAGUCUCAAAGCCCUAUAUUUUAAAAAGUAAAACUAUAAGUGGGCCUGGCAUGGUGGCUCACGCCUGUAAUCCCAGCACUUUGGGAGGUUGAGGAGGGCAGAUCACAAGAUCAGGAGUUCAAGACCAGCCUGAUUAAUAUUGUGAAACCCCAUCUCUACUAAAAAUACAAAAAUAAGCCGGGCGUGGUGGCACGCACCUGUAGUCCCAGUUGCUCGGGAGGCUGAGGCAGGAGAAUCACUCGAACCCGGGAGGCAGAGGUUGCAAUGAGCCGAUAUCAUGCCAUUGCACUCCAGCCUGGGCAACAGAGUGAGAUUCCAUCUCAAAAAACAAAAACAAAACAAAACAAAACAAAACAAAACUGUAUAAAGCCCACAAUUAACAUUAUACUCAACAGUGAAAAACUGAAAGCUUUCUUUUUUUUUUUUUUCUUUCUUUUUU